Non-coding RNA from Pelodiscus sinensis (Chinese soft-shelled turtle), 735 nucleotides. Lineage: Eukaryota; Metazoa; Chordata; Testudines; Trionychidae. The record is from RefSeq and is a predicted model, not a curated record.
CCCUAAUUUUGGAACACCUGACUGCUCUGUGCUUCAUUGUCAGGACUCAUCUCCAAGGGGUUGGAAAGGACCCCGGGAUCCUCGUCGGUCUUCCGAAUGCUGCGGCCGGGGCGCCUGGCCCCCCUCUCAGGGCCACGCAGACUCUCAUCUCCCGGCAAUCCCCUCGCCAUUUGCCAAAGAAAGCAGCAAACUAAGGUUCCUUGGGGCAGCGUGUGAGAACAUGCUGCUUCCAGGCAGCGCGUGGGCGUCUCCCCACAGUGAGACACUUGUCAGGAGUGGGGGCUGCUUUGUGUCCAUGGGUUCAGUGUGAUACAGACGAAGCAGGAGCUCCUGAGUAGGGGCAGUGGCUGCCGAAGUACGUGAUUCACCCCCAAAGCAAAGUGCCACAGACUCAGCUGCAGUCACACUCCAGGCUCGCUGCCGUUGGCUUUCAGAUUUAGACCACGGCUGACUUAUGCCCAUGACAUUUCACCAAAACCGACUCUUUUUAAUCAUGGCAUAUUUUUGCCUUUCCUCGUACACUGCCACAGACCCUGCCACAUCUGGCAGAGGGGCAUUAGAAUCCACAGUCCUGCUGGAAUCCAAGCCAAUGUUCCCUCUCAUUUUUUUCCAUCCAUGUGCAGAAUAAAUGUUGUUGUGUGCAUGGAGGCAUAUGCAGAUGCGCACCAAUAGAACGUGCUGCCAGCUGUGUGUGCUCAGCUAAUCAGCUGGACAGCACUGGACUCUCCUGGGUGG